UACAGAGACUGCAAGCGUUAUUCGGAUUUACUGGGCGUAAAGGGUGCGCAGGCGGCCAAGUGUGUUAGGCGUGAAAGCCCGGGGCUUAACCCCGGAAUUGCACCUAAAACUACAUGGCUAGAGCAUUGGAGAGGGUAGCGGAAUUCACGGUGUAGCAGUGAAAUGCGUAGAUAUCGUGAGGAACACCAGAGGCGAAGGCGGCUACCUGGACAAUUGCUGACGCUCAGGCACGAAAGCGUGGGGAGCAAACGGG
RNAcentral lists this ribosomal RNA (253 nucleotides) under uncultured bacterium. Its description in RNAcentral is "partial 16S ribosomal RNA". It matches the Rfam family "Bacterial small subunit ribosomal RNA", at positions 524 to 776 of the family's 1533-position model. The record is from RNAcentral.